RNAcentral lists this ribosomal RNA (482 nucleotides) under uncultured Vibrio sp. RNAcentral's name for it is "bacterial SSU rRNA". It matches the Rfam family "Bacterial small subunit ribosomal RNA", at positions 44 to 507 of the family's 1533-position model. The record is from RNAcentral. Lineage: Bacteria; Pseudomonadati; Pseudomonadota; Gammaproteobacteria; Vibrionales; Vibrionaceae.
AGGCCUAACACAUGCAAGUCGAGCGGAAACGACUUAACUGAACCUUCGGGGAACGUUAAGGGCGUCGAGCGGCGGACGGGUGAGUAAUGCCUGGGAAAUUGCCCUGAUGUGGGGAUAACCAUUGGAAACGAUGGCUAAUACCGCAUAAUAGCUUCGGCUCAAAGAGGGGGACCUUCGGGCCUCUCGCGUCAGGAUAUGCCCAGGUGGGAUUAGCUAGUUGGUGAGGUAAGGGCUCACCAAGGCAACGAUCCCUAGCUGGUCUGAGAGGAUGAUCAGCCACACUGGAACUGAGACACGGUCCAGACUCCUACGGGAGGCAGCAGUGGGGAAUAUUGCACAAUGGCGCAAGCCUGAUGCAGCCAUGCCGCGUGUAUGAAGAAGGCCUUCGGGUUGUAAAGUACUUUCAGCAGUGAGGAAGGUUCAUACGUUAAUAGCGUAUGGAUUUGACGUUAGCUGCAGAAGAAGCACUGGCUAACUCCGUG